Molecule: long non-coding RNA, 231 nt
Filed under: Homo sapiens (human)
Lineage: Eukaryota; Metazoa; Chordata; Mammalia; Primates; Hominidae
Description: HSALNT0235542
Source: RNAcentral
ACAAGCAUCAGAACCCUCAGGAACAGCAGAACCAGAAAGCCCAGUCCUUCCACUGACUCCGAUCCAGUCCUUCUAGGACAGCCUGGACUUGGUGGAUGUUCUGAGACAUUUAAAAAAUUACUAGGCCAGGCACGGUGGCUCAUGUCUGUAAUCCCAGCACUUUGGGAGGCCGAUGCAGGUGGAUCACGAGGUCAGGAGAUCGAGACCAGCCUGGCCAACGUGGUGAAACCC